Molecule: ribosomal RNA, 439 nt
Filed under: uncultured bacterium
Lineage: Bacteria
Description: partial 16S ribosomal RNA
Rfam family: Bacterial small subunit ribosomal RNA
Source: RNAcentral
CUACGGGUUGCUGCAGUGAGGAAUAUUGCACAAUGGGGGGAACCCUGAUGCAGCAACGCCGCGUGGAGGAUGACGCAUUUCGGUGUGUAAACUCCUUUUAUAUGUCAAGAAAAUGACGGUAGCAUAUGAAUAAGCACCGGCUAACUCCGUGCCAGCAGCCGCGGUAAUACGGAGGGUGCAAGCGUUACUCGGAAUCACUGGGCGUAAAGGACGCGUAGGCGGGUUGGAAAGUCAGGUGUGAAAUCCUACAGCUUAACUGUAGAACUGCACUUGAAACUUCUAAUCUAGAGUAUGGGAGGGGGAGAUGGAAUUAGCGGUGUAGGGGUAAAAUCCGUAGAUAUCACUAGGAAUACCUAAAGCGAAGGCGAUCUCCUGGAACAUUACUGACGCUAAGGCGUGAAAGCGUGGGGAGCAAACAGGAUUAGAUACCCCGGUAGUC